Molecule: ribosomal RNA, 431 nt
Filed under: uncultured bacterium
Lineage: Bacteria
Description: bacterial SSU rRNA
Rfam family: Bacterial small subunit ribosomal RNA
Source: RNAcentral
UCGAGGAUCUUCGGCAAUGGGCGCAAGCCUGACCGAGCGACGCCGCGUGUGCGAUGAAGGCCUUCGGGUUGUAAAGCACUGUCGAGGGGGAGGAAGCCGCAAGGUUGACCUAUCCCUGGAGGAAGCACGGGCUAAGUUCGUGCCAGCAGCCGCGGUAAGACGAACCGUGCGAACGUUGUUCGGAAUCACUGGGCUUAAAGGGCGCGUAGGCGGUCAUCCAAGUCCGGGGUGAAAUCUUUCGGCUUAACCGGAAAAGUGCCUUGGAUACUGGAUGGCUGGAGGGAGGUAGGGGUCACGGGAACUUCCAGUGGAGCGGUGAAAUGCGUUGAUAUUGGAAGGAACUCCGGUGGCGAAAGCGCGUGACUGGACCUCUUCUGACGCUGAGGCGCGAAAGCUAGGGGAGCAAACGGGAUUAGAUACCCCCGUAGUCC